This 298-nucleotide unclassified non-coding RNA is filed under the name uncultured fungus. RNAcentral describes it as "sequence contains ITS1". The stretch from base 1 to 105 matches the Rfam family "5.8S ribosomal RNA", at positions 50 to 154 of the family's 154-position model. The record is from RNAcentral. Lineage: Eukaryota; Fungi.
AAAAUGCGAUAAGUAGUGUGAAUUGCAGAAUUCAGUGAAUCAUCGAAUCUUUGAACGCAUAUUGCGCCCUUUGGUACUCCUUAGGGCAUGCCUGUUCGAGCGUCAUUUAAAUCUUCAAGCUUAGCUUGGUGUUGGGCGUUUGUCUCGCGUCUUCGCACAUGUAGACACGCCUUAAAGUUAUUGGCAGUCGGUACGUCAGCUUCGAGCGCAGCAGAAUCGUCUCAGGCUCGCGGAUCGCCUUCCAGGAAGCCGUAUUAUGCUUGACCUCGGAUCAGGUAGGGAUACCCGCUGAACUUAA